AUGGUGGAAGCCGCCGCGGGACGCCGGUCGGGUACCAGCCCUCGGCGGCCUAGCGGCGGAGGGGAGCAGCAGCUGCCCCUUGUCGCCGUCGCGCUCGCCACGCGCGUCGUCAUGGUCACGUCCGCUCCGCCCGCGGGGGGCGGUGUGGGAGGAGGUGGAGCGGCCGCUGGUGGCCGGUGUCUCGAUGACCUUCUCGGCUGCCUGCUCGGCGUGCUCCGCGUGCUUGGCUUCCCGUGGGCCGCGUCCCCUCAGAGGCAGCCGCGCCCAGUGUCGCCACGCGGGGCCAUCCCGUCGACAGCGGACGGCCGGCGCUUCGCGGCGGAGCUGAGGCGGAUCCCCGGCCGGAUUGCUGGCAAUGGCGCCUGCGCUGUUGCGUCGCUUUACACGAUGCAGGGCAAGAAGGGCGUCAACCAGGACGCGAUGAUCGUUUGGGAGAACUUCUGUUCAAGAGAUGACACCAUUUUUUGCGGUGUGUUUGAUGGUCAUGGACCUUACGGUCAUUUGGUUGCUAAGAGAGUGAGAGAUCUCCUACCCGUAAAGCUUGGUGCGGAUAUGGGGACAGAUAAGGGUAGAGAGACACCCGCUAGCAACAUGGAAGGCAACACAAAUGAAGUAGGUUUACCCGUAAACCCAGAGAGAAAAGAAACCACCACUUCUGUUGCAGCUGAGCAGGAUAGGGAAUACCCAGAGAUAUUCACAACAUUCAGAACUUCAUUCUUGCGGGCUUUUCACAUAAUGGACAGGGAUCUGAAGUUACACAAGAAUAUCGAUUGCUUUUUCAGUGGAACUACAGCAGUGGCAGUGCUCAAACAGGGUCAUAAUCUUAUAAUAGGCAACUUGGGAGACUCAAGAGCUAUCUUAGGCACUAGAAAUGAAGAUGGUCAGCUCAUUGCUGUCCAGUUGACGGUUGAUCUCAAACCUAACAUUCCAAGUGAAGCACAACGCAUCAGGCAACGCAGGGGCAGAAUAUUUGCACUUCCUGAGGAGCCAGAGGUUGCUCGUGUUUGGCUGCCAAAGUAUAACUCACCUGGAUUGGCCAUGGCAAGGGCAUUUGGAGACUUCUGUCUUAAGGAGUAUGGUCUAAUUUCUAUGCCUGAAGUCUCCUGUCACCGUGUCACAGAGAAGGAUGAGUUUAUUGUGUUGGCGACUGAUGGGGUGUGGGAUGUGCUGUCAAACACUGAAGUUGUUAGCAUCAUAAGCAGAGCCACUUCUCGGGCUUCUGCAGCACGCUUCCUGGUUGAAUCAGCUAAUCGUGCCUGGCGUACUAGGUACCCUACUUCUAAAAUUGAUGACUGUGCUGUUGUUUGUCUCUUCCUGAAUACACAUGAAGCAGAUGAACCAUCUAGUUCUGCAGCCAACAAUUUAGCAAAUGCUCUAGAAGUUAGUGGUGAUAAGCACUCAACAGUUGUCCAACUGAGCACUGGAGUAUCUGCCGAUGUGGUUAAUGCACUUGUGAAAGAUACAAAUGAGCUAUCUUUUGUUGAUGCUGUUGCGAAGCCAGUUACUGUCUCAGAUUUGACAAAGGAUGGUUCAGGCACAAAGCAAAGCAUCAUUUGA
Molecule: ribosomal RNA, 1557 nt
Filed under: Triticum aestivum (bread wheat)
Lineage: Eukaryota; Viridiplantae; Streptophyta; Magnoliopsida; Poales; Poaceae
Description: partial small subunit ribosomal RNA
Source: RNAcentral